RNAcentral lists this ribosomal RNA (449 nucleotides) under uncultured bacterium. Its description in RNAcentral is "bacterial SSU rRNA". It matches the Rfam family "Bacterial small subunit ribosomal RNA", at positions 28 to 507 of the family's 1533-position model. The record is from RNAcentral.
GAUAAACGCUGGCGGCGUGCAUGAGACAUGCAAGUCGAACGAACGAGCUUGCUCGUUAGUGGCGAACGGCUGAGUAACGCGUAGGUGACCUGCCCUGAAGUGGGGGAUAACGGCCCGAAAGGGUUGCUAAUACCGCAUGUGGCGACGUGUUCAUUCACGUCAUCAAAGCCGCGAGGCGCUUCAGGAGGGGCCUGCGUCCGAUUAGCUCGUUGGUGGGGUAACGGCUCACCAAGGCGACGAUCGGUAGGUGGUCUGAGAGGACGAUCACCCAGACUGGGACUGAGACACGGCCCAGACUCCUACGGGAGGCAGCAGUCGGGAAUUUGCUCAAUGGGGGAAACCCUGAAGCAGCAACGCCGCGUGCGGGAUGAAGGCCUUCGGGUUGUAAACCGCUUUUACCAGGGACGAUAAUGACGGUACCUGAUGAAUAAGUCACGGCUAACUACGUG